RNAcentral lists this ribosomal RNA (561 nucleotides) under Triticum aestivum (bread wheat). RNAcentral describes it as "partial small subunit ribosomal RNA". Lineage: Eukaryota; Viridiplantae; Streptophyta; Magnoliopsida; Poales; Poaceae. The record is from RNAcentral.
AUGGACUACUUGGCUUUUCUCUGUCAGGAUGAAAAAAAAAUUGAACACCCAAAGUUAAAUUCCUGGAUCCGCCGGCCUGGACCGGCAUUUUGGUACAGGGGUGACGAUUCGAAACAGCACAGGAAGGGAUUCUCAAAAAAAAAAGCACAGGAAGGAGAAUCUCGUCCUCCACCUCUCCCCAUUCCCCGAACUUUACCUCAUGGGAGAAGCCCCAGCCACAUAACAGACUUUGCCUCUCUCCCCUCGGGCGAUGGCAGCGGGGGUGCUGCCCGGCGAGAUGUCCACCAGCGGCGUCGACUCUGUUGGGAUCCAUGGGGCUCCGGCUUGUGGUGCUUCCAUCCUACCCGCGGAGUCGCAGGAUCCAUGAGCGUCAAUGUCCAGAUGGGCAGCGGCGGCGGGACUGGCGGUGGCGCCGCCGGAUACGUGAUGUGCUCUGAAGCUACCAGUGGCUGGAUAAGGAGGGGUAGGUGUCAAUCAAAAGAAGCGCCCAAGGGGCAGGCCAACAACAAGCCGAGACAAGGCUCCUUACGAGCAACAUUUGAAGAGGCCUCGGUUUUGUAA